This 107-nucleotide small nuclear RNA is filed under the name Castor canadensis (American beaver). The record is from RNAcentral. Lineage: Eukaryota; Metazoa; Chordata; Mammalia; Rodentia; Castoridae.
GUGUUCGCUUCAGCAGCACAUAUACUAAAAUUGGAACCAUACAGAGAAGAUUAGCAUGGCCCCUGCGCAAGGAAGGCAUGCAAAUUCGUGAAGUGUUCCGUAUUAAA